RNAcentral lists this ribosomal RNA (469 nucleotides) under rape rhizosphere bacterium m9008. Its description in RNAcentral is "bacterial SSU rRNA". It matches the Rfam family "Bacterial small subunit ribosomal RNA", at positions 27 to 491 of the family's 1533-position model. The record is from RNAcentral.
GAUUGAACGCUGGCGGCAUGCCUUACACAUGCAAGUCGAACGGCAGCACGGGAGCAAUCCUGGUGGCGAGUGGCGAACGGGUGAGUAAUACAUCGGAACGUGCCCAAUCGUGGGGGAUAACGCAGCGAAAGCUGUGCUAAUACCGCAUAAGAUCUACGGAUGAAAGCAGGGGAUCGCAAGACCUUGCGCGAAUGGAGCGGCCGAUGGCAGAUUAGGUAGUUGGUGAGGUAAAGGCUCACCAAGCCUUCGAUCUGUAGCUGGUCUGAGAGGACGACCAGCCACACUGGGACUGAGACACGGCCCAGACUCCUACGGGAGGCAGCAGUGGGGAAUUUUGGACAAUGGGCGAAAGCCUGAUCCAGCCAUGCCGCGUGCAGGAUGAAGGCCUUCGGGUUGUAAACUGCUUUUGUACGGAACGAAAAGGUUCUUUCUAAUAAAGAGAGCCCAUGACGGUACCGUAAGAAUAAGC